Molecule: ribosomal RNA, 468 nt
Filed under: uncultured bacterium
Lineage: Bacteria
Description: partial 16S ribosomal RNA
Rfam family: Bacterial small subunit ribosomal RNA
Source: RNAcentral
GACGAACGCUGGCGGCGUGCUUAACACAUGCAAGUCGAACGGAAAGGCCCUGCUUUUGUGGGGUGCUCGAGUGGCGAACGGGUGAGUAACACGUGAGUAACCUGCCCUUGACUUUGGGAUAACUUCAGGAAACUGGGGCUAAUACCGGAUAGGAGCUCCUGCUGCAUGGUGGGGGUUGGAAAGUUUCGGCGGUUGGGGAUGGACUCGCGGCUUAUCAGCUUGUUGGUGGGGUAGUGGCUUACCAAGGCUUUGACGGGUAGCCGGCCUGAGAGGGUGACCGGCCAAAUUGGGACUGAGAUACGGCCCAGACUCCUACGGGAGGGAGCAGUGGGGAGUAUUGCACAAUGGGCGGAAGCCUGAUGCGGCAAAGCAGCGUGGGGGAUGACGGCCAGCGGGUUGUAAACCGCUUUCGCCUGUGACGAGGCGUGAGUGACGGUAAUGGGUAAAGAAGCACCGGCUAACUACGUG